This 449-nucleotide ribosomal RNA is filed under the name uncultured bacterium. RNAcentral describes it as "SSU rRNA". It matches the Rfam family "Bacterial small subunit ribosomal RNA", at positions 26 to 518 of the family's 1533-position model. The record is from RNAcentral.
AGAGCGAACGCUGGCGGCAGGCUUAACACAUGCAAGUCGAGCGGGCGUAGCAAUACGUCAGCGGCAGACGGGUGAGUAACGCGUGGGAACAUACCUUUUGGUUCGGAACAACACAGGGAAACUUGUGCUAAUACCGGAUAAGCCCUUACGGGGAAAGAUUUAUCGCCGAAAGAUUGGCCCGCGUCUGAUUAGCUAGUUGGUGAGGUAACGGCUCACCAAGGCGACGAUCAGUAGCUGGUCUGAGAGGAUGAUCAGCCACAUUGGGACUGAGACACGGCCCAAACUCCUACGGGAGGCAGCAGUGGGGAAUAUUGGACAAUGGGCGCAAGCCUGAUCCAGCCAUGCCGCGUGAGUGAUGAAGGCCCUAGGGUUGUAAAGCUCUUUUGUGCGGGAAGAUAAUGACGGUACCGCAAGAAUAAGCCCCGGCUAACUUCGACGCCAGCAGCCGC